RNAcentral lists this ribosomal RNA (497 nucleotides) under uncultured bacterium. RNAcentral describes it as "partial 16S ribosomal RNA". It matches the Rfam family "Bacterial small subunit ribosomal RNA", at positions 28 to 507 of the family's 1533-position model. The record is from RNAcentral.
GAUGAACGCUGGCGGCGUGCCUAAUACAUGCAAGUCGAGCGAACACACGAGGAGCUUUCCCCUCUCACUUUAGCGGCGGACGCGUGUGUAAAACGUGGAUAACACACCUAUAAGACUGGGGUAACUUCCGGAAACCGGAGCUAAUACCGGAUAACCUGUUCAACACCAUGGUUCAACAGCGAAAGACGGUCUUGCUGUCGCUUAUCGCUGGAUCCGCACCGGAUUAGCUAGUAGGUAAGGUAACGGCUUACCCAGGCCACGAUGCGUAGCCGACCUGAGAGGAUGAUCAGCCACACUGGAACUGAGACACGGUCCAGACUCCUACGGGAGGCAGCAGUAGGGAAUCUUGCGCAAUGGGCGAAAGCCUGACGGAGCAACGCCGCGUGUGUGAAGAAGGUCUUCGGAUCGUAAAACUCUGUUAUUAGGGAAGAACAAAGUUGUGUGUAACUAUUCGCGUCUUGACGGUACCUAAACAGAAAGCCACGGCUAACUACGUG